UAGUCCACGCCCUAAACGAUGCUUACUAGGAGUUUGGAUUUAUUUGAGCUUCUAAGGGAAACCGAUAAGUAAGCCACCUGGGGAGUACGUUCGCAAUAUUAAAACUCAAAGAAAUUGACGGGGGCCCGCACAAGCGGUGGAGCAUGUGGUUUAAUUCGAUGAUACGCGAGGAACCUUACCAGGGCUUAAAUGCAGUAUGACAGAUUUGGAAACAGAUUUUUCUUCGGACAUAUUGCAAGGUGCUGCAUGGUUGUCGUCAGCUCGUGCCGUGAGGUGUCAGGUUAAGUCCUAUAACGAGCGCAACCCCUAUUGCUAGUUGCCAGCGGAUAAUGCCGGGGACUCUAGUGAGACUGCCGGUGCAAAACCGUGAGGAAGGUGGGAUGACGUCAAAUCAUCACGGCCCUUACGUCCUGGGCCACACACGUGCUACAAUGGUAGGGACAGAGAGCAGCCACUUCGCGAGAAGGAGCGAAUCUAUAAACCCUAUCACAGUUCGGAUCGUAGU
This 505-nucleotide ribosomal RNA is filed under the name uncultured bacterium. RNAcentral's name for it is "bacterial SSU rRNA". It matches the Rfam family "Bacterial small subunit ribosomal RNA", at positions 791 to 1304 of the family's 1533-position model. The record is from RNAcentral.